CAGUAGCCACGGUAAUACAGAGGGUGCGAGCGUUAAUCGGAUUUACUGGGCGUAAAGCGUGCGUAGGCGGCUUCUUAAGUCGGAUGUGAAAUCCCUGAGCUUAACUUAGGAAUUGCAUUCGAUACUGGGAAGCUAGAGUAUGGGAGAGGAUGGUAGAAUUCCAGGUGUAGCGGUGAAAUGAGUAGAGAUCUGGAGGAAUACCGAUGGCGAAGGCAGCCAUCUGGCCUAAUACUGACGCUGAGGUACGAAAGCAUGGGGAGCAAACAGGAUUAGAUACCCGCGUAGUCCCUGUCUCUUAUAC
This 301-nucleotide ribosomal RNA is filed under the name uncultured bacterium. RNAcentral's name for it is "partial 16S ribosomal RNA". It matches the Rfam family "Bacterial small subunit ribosomal RNA", at positions 509 to 807 of the family's 1533-position model. The record is from RNAcentral.